CUGACUGUCAACCUUCAAUACUAGUCCCAAAUGGACUUCCCGUCUUUUCGGAUUACUUAUCUACAAUGAACAUAUAUAGCAAUCUAGUAUUAGCAACCAAACGUCACAAUUCAAUUAUUUAAAUUCACCAAACUAGUGGUUAAGUAAUAAGCCUUAAUUACACCAAUUAUUUGGCUAGGGUUUGUUCUUUCUCAAUGAUUGAUGAUGAAAAUGAGUUUUUGAACUCAUAUACAUGUAUAUACACAUAUUCCUGUCCAUAAUAUAAUAAGAAAUGACCAAAAUGACUUUAAAAUUUAAAUAAUAUCAAAUCUGUCCUUUGGUAGACUGUUUUGUUAAGCUAAAGUAGAUCGACCAUAACUCUUUGAUCCGAUAUCGAAUUUGGGUGAAAUUGGUAUCGUUGGAAGGAUAAUUCAAAGGGCUUUCAUUUCAUAUAAAGUAGGCCACCCAGUUCAUCCUGUACAAGGAGUUAUGGUCAUUUGAAGUUUACCCUAAAAAUCUAUUUUGAUAGGCUGAAGUAAAACGAGUAUAACGCCUUACUCAGACGUUGGAUUUGGAUGAAACCAAUUGCAUUGGAAAGAAGACUCAAAGAUAUUUAUUUUCAUAGGUCGAAGCUCUCCCAGUUCAUUAUAUUAAGGGAGUUAUGAUCGUUUGAAGUUGACCCAAAAAUUCGGUUAGCCUCAGUAGUUUGUGUGCAGGAACAUUUACUAUUCCCAAAUAUCCCGGCCACCAUUUUAUAGUUUCGAACAUGAUCGAUUAUAGCCGAAACCUAUUCAUUUUUGGAAAUCUUUAUAUCGUUGCAAAUCUAAUUCAAUAACGUUCACAUGGAACCAUCAAUGGGCAAAUUCUGGUAUAAAUAAAAUAAAAUAAAAUUAAUUCCAUAUAAAUAAGACCAAUACACGUACUUGAAUACGCCAAUACACGUACUUGAAUACAAGGUGUUACACUAAAGAAGCCCUUUAAACAGAAAGCUGAUACUCUUUCUGAAGAAGAAUAAAAUAGAUAUAAUGGGGUGCGUAGAAACUAAGGUAAAAGAAUGGAAUGCAAAAAGAAUCCUAUCAAAAAUAGUUAGUGAUUGGAAGCAUUGUUGUAAUUACACUGCUGAAGCACCAAUUGGGAGAGUGUGGCUAUUAUGGAAAACUGAUAUUGCAAUCCAAGUUUUGGAUAUGGACAGUCAAUUCAUACAUUGUAAGGUGGAAGACAACCAGCAACAAGUAGUUAUCUUCUUCACAGUUGUGUAUGCAUGGAAUGAACAAAGCAAGAGGUAGAGUCUAUGGAGUGAAUUAGAACAAGUGGGCUCACAGAUAUAAUCCAGUUGGAUCAUAAGUGGUGAUUUCAACAAUGUGUUAACAGUUGAUGAUAGGUUGGGGGCACCAGUAACAGCGGUUGAAGUACAAGUAUUCAGGGAAUUGAUAGACAAACUAUAACUCACUCCAUUGAUGAACAUAGGUGGUCAGUACACUUAGUGCAACAAGCGCCAAGAUAAUAGUAUGGUAUAUAGCAAAAUUGAUUGGGCACUAGGUAAUUUUAAUUGGCUACUGCAUUAUGGGCAUAUUGAGGCUAAAUAUCUUAAUCCAGGUGUAUCUGAUCAUGCCCUAAUUGUCAUUCAGAUAAACAUAAGCACUCAGCAAUAUAACCAACAUCCUAAGCCAUUCAAACUGUUUAGUAGUGUCAUGAAACAUCAGGAGUUUGGAGGCCUGGUAAAAAAAACAUGGAAGCAGCCAGUAGAGGGAAAUUGGAUGUACAAGGUAUGGCAAAAUCUGAAUAGAUUGAAGAGUGAAUUGAAGGGGCUGAACACUUACAUGGCAAGUUACCAACAGAGACUGCAACAAGCUAGAGUGGAGCUGGAAGCAAUACAAACAAGGUUGGCUUCCCAACCUUUGAAUCAGCAGCUUAUGUCACUGGAAAACAAAUAUUGAUGGAGAUAGAAAAAUAGAGUACAGUGGGGGAAUAAGUUUUGAGAUAAAAAUCUAGAGCUCAGUGGAUUCAGUGUGGAGAUGCUAACUCCAGAUACUUCCAUGCCCAAAUGAAGAUGAGAAUUAGCCACAAUACUAUAAAUUCAGUCUACACAAGCACUAAUACUAAGCUCAUUGAUCCAAUACUUGUUAAGAGGAAAUUCAUUGACUUCUUCACCAGUCUGAUGGCUGAAGCAGGCCCUAUACACAAAUGUCCUGAUGCUGAGAUAAUUAAGAAAGGUAAUUGCUUAAACCAUGAUCUGCAAACACAACUUAUAAAGAAAGUCACAAAGGCAGAAAUAUUGGAAGCCAUUAAAAGCAUACCACAGGAUAAAGCACCAGGAGUAGAUGUCUUUCCAAUUGAGUUCUUUACACAAUAAUGGGAUGCAUUUAAAGAAGAUAUAUAUGAGGUAGUGCUGAGUUUCUUUAGAACUGAGAAAUGCUAAAAGCUUAGAAUAGCACAGCUAUAACCUUGGUACCAAAGACACAAGGGCAUACACAGGUAAAAGACUUCAGACCCAUUGCUUGUUGCACAAUAUUGUAUAAAAUUGUGACCAAAAUACUGACAGGAAGGCUGAAGUUGGUUAUUAGGGACCUAGUUGGUGGCCCACAAUCUGCUUUCAUUAUAGGAAGGUGUAUUACUGAUAAUAUUUUUUUUACCCAUGAAUUGCUUAAAGGGUAUACAAGAAAAGGGAUGAGUGCAAGGUAUGUGCUGAAGGUGGAUAUAUGGAAAGCAUAUGGCACACUAGAUUGGGAUUUCCUGAGGAGUAUGUUACUGAACCUGGGAUUUCCUCACAAGUUUAUUGUGUGGAUCAUGGAAUGCAUUACCACAUUCAUAUAUUCACUAACACUAAAUGGUGGCUUAACAAAAACUUUUGAAGGGAAAAGGGGAAUUAGACAAGGAGAUCCAAUGUCCCCUUACUUGUUUUGUAUAGCUAUGGAAUAUCUUUAAAGAGAAUUUGAUCACCUGGCACAAAAAAAGGACUUCCAAUUCCACCCAAGAUGCAAACAACAGAGAGUUAUUCAUGUGUGUUUUGUUGAUGACCUCCUCAUGUUUUGCAGGGCUAAUAUAAAGUUUGUAAAGCUACUAUAUGCAAUAUUUUUGAAGUUUUUAGAAGCAUCAAGCCUACAAGCAAAUGCAGAUAAAAGCUCUAUCUAUAUAACAGGGGUGUCUGAGAGAGUAAAGGAUGAGAUUAUAUAACAUCUAAGCUUCCGGGAAGGACACUUCCCAUUCAAAUAUUUAGGGGUUCCCCUUGCAGCUAAGAAGUUAUCUAUAGGUUAAUGUUGGCCUUUGGUGGAGAAAAUAACAGCUAGAAUUAACUGUUGGACAUUCAAGUUAUUGUCUUAUACAGGUCGAGUCCAAUUGAUAAAAUCGGUAUUGUUUGGUGUUCAAUCAUAUUGGUCACAAAUCUUUAUGCUCCCUAAGAAAGUAAUGAAGAUGAUCAUGCACUCUGUAGAUCAUUCCUCUAGACAGGUAUAGUAGUGAUGUCCAAAAAAGCCCUUAUUGCUUGGGACAAGGAGUGUUUACCUGAGGCUACAGGUGGCCUUAACAUCAUAGACCUGGAACUAUGGAACAAAGCUGCAAUUACAAAACACUUAUGGGCCAUAGCAAUGAAUAAAGAUUAAAUGUGGAUUAAAUGGAUACACAGUGUACAUCAAGAAUAAAGAAUUGGAUUCCCUCAUAAUACCCAAGAAUGCAGCCUGUUUUUUUAGGAAGAUUUUGGCCACUAGGGAGCUUGUUCUUAGACUACAAAGAAUUCAAGGUGAUCUCAUGAGUAGGCUACAGCAACUCCAGCACUUUGAUGUUUUUAGCAUUUAGAGAAUGUAUAAGCAAAUGAGGCCACAAUACCCAAGAGUUCCCUGGAAGAAUAUGAUACUUCAGCCUCAACUACAUCCCAGGUACAAAUUUACACUUUGGUUAGCAUCCCGUGAAAGACUAGCUACUGUGGAUAGGCUAAUGAAGAUGGGCAUCCAAGUACCUAAAACUUAUGUAUUUUGUAGGCUUGAUGAUGAAGUAUUUGAGCACUUAUUCUUUAGCUGCCAAUAUGUGAAAGUUAUAUGGACAAGACUGCUGGUAUGGAUGGGUCAUCAACAAAGUAUUGGCACAUAGAAAGAAGAAGUACAAUGGUUUUGUAAAGGACCAAGAAGGAAGACAGGGCAUUGGGAAAUUGGCAAUUGUGUCUUUGGAAUAAUGGUCUACUUGAUUUGGCAAGAAAGGAACAACAUCAAAUUUCAACAAGCUACCACUUGUACAGAUAGAUUAUACAAGGAGGUGGCACGACACAUACACAUGAAGAGCAGGAAGACCAGAGCAUGGCAUGGAAUAAUACAAAUGUUGCAGCACUACCCUUAGAACAAUACAAAUGGAACAAUACAAAUGUUGCAGCACUACCCUUUAAACCCAGUGGAUAUGGGCAUGUUGAUGAAGUUCAUCAUAUGAUUUAAUUAAAAUAUUCCUAUAUGAUAUGUACUUUUCCCAAGUGAGACAUGUUCAUUAUGUUUCUAGUCCUUUUUUUAAGGGUAACUUACAUAAAUCCCUGAAUCUUUAAGUGAUAUUACAUAAAAUUUUGACUAUUUUGUUAAUUACAUCUUAUUUCGAUUUCUUGAAAUAAUGAUACAUAUGGUAUACGAUGAUACAUAUAAAAAGUGAUACAUUUGAAACAGAUUAGAUCUUUAUUUUAGAAAGUAACAGAUUCUCUUUUAUUCUAUGGAGCAAAUCACGCACAAUCUGUUACAAGCUGAAAAUCCUCAAUUCCCUUCGACCAAAUUUCAAAUUUAAAGCAAACCAUAUUAUUAAUACGUGAUUCAUUGAAAACACAUAUUAGAAAAAACAAUGAAAAAAUUGAAUUUCUUGAGAAGUUCAAAAGAUAUGCGUACCAAGAACUUCAACUCCACCAAAUAGUAAUUUCGUUCAACUUCAAGAUUGUUCCACCUAUUGAUUGGUCUUCAAUAGUUGUCCGUUGAUUUAAUUUUGUAUGAGAGAAUUCAAAGUGAUUUAAAUUAUUCUUUUUAAAUUUGUUGCAGUAAGAUGUCGUUAAAGCUAGCGUCUUCAAGGUUGAAAUUGUUGAAGAACAAGAAAGAAGUGCAAAUGAAACAAAUGAAAAGAGAACUGGCCUAGUUACUCGAUUUUGGUCAGGACCAAACAUCAAGAAUUCACGUGGAGCACGUUGUGAAGAAGAGAAGGAGAAGAAGAAGAAUUAUUAUUUGAAU
RNAcentral lists this long non-coding RNA (5162 nucleotides) under Capsicum annuum. RNAcentral describes it as "long non-coding RNA (CANN_LNC006733)". Lineage: Eukaryota; Viridiplantae; Streptophyta; Magnoliopsida; Solanales; Solanaceae. The record is from RNAcentral.